This 773-nucleotide ribosomal RNA is filed under the name uncultured bacterium. RNAcentral describes it as "bacterial SSU rRNA". It matches the Rfam family "Bacterial small subunit ribosomal RNA", at positions 8 to 798 of the family's 1533-position model. The record is from RNAcentral.
AGAGUUUGAUCAUGGCUCAGGACGAACGCUGGCGGCGUGCUUAACACAUGCAAGUCGAACGGAAAGGCCCUUCGGGGUACUCGAGUGGCGAACGGGUGAGUAACACGUGGGUGAUCUGCCCUGCACUUUGGGAUAAGCCUGGGAAACUGGGUCUAAUACCGAAUAGGACCACGCGCUUCAUGGUGUGUGGUGGAAAGCUUUUGCGGUGUGGGAUGGGCCCGCGGCCUAUCAGCUUGUUGGUGGGGUAAUGGCCUACCAAGGCGACGACGGGUAGCCGGCCUGAGAGGGUGACCGGCCACACUGGGACUGAGAUACGGCCCAGACUCCUACGGGAGGCAGCAGUGGGGAAUAUUGCACAAUGGGCGCAAGCCUGAUGCAGCGACGCCGCGUGAGGGAUGACGGCCUUCGGGUUGUAAACCUCUUUCAAUAGGGACGAAGCGCAAGUGACGGUACCUAUAGAAGAAGCACCGGCCAACUACGUGCCAGCAGCCGCGGUAAUACGUAGGGUGCGAGCGUUGUCCGGAAUUACCGGGCGUAAAGAGCUCGUAGGUGGUUUGUCGCGUUGUUCGUGAAAACUCACAGCUUAACUGUGGGCGUGCGGGCGAUACGGGCAGACUAGAGUACUGCAGGGGAGACUGGAAUUCCUGGUGUAGCGGUGGAAUGCGCAGAUAUCAGGAGGAACACCGGUGGCGAAGGCGGGUCUCUGGGCAGUAACUGACGCUGAGGAGCGAAAGCGUGGGGAGCGAACAGGAUUAGAUACCCUGGUAGUCCAA